Molecule: ribosomal RNA, 404 nt
Filed under: Verrucomicrobiota bacterium
Lineage: Bacteria; Pseudomonadati; Verrucomicrobiota
Description: Verrucomicrobia bacterium partial 16S ribosomal RNA
Rfam family: Bacterial small subunit ribosomal RNA
Source: RNAcentral
UGGGGAAUAUUGCACAAUGGAGGGAACUCUGAUGCAGCGACGCCGCGUGAGUGAAGAAGUAUUUCGGUAUGUAAAGCUCUAUCAGUAGGGAAGAUAAUGACGGUACCUACAUAAGAAGCCCCGGCUAAAUACGUGCCAGCAGCCGCGGUAAUACGUAUGGGGCAAGCGUUAUCCGGAUUUACUGGGUGUAAAGGGAGCGUAGGCGACAGUACAAGUCGGGAGUGAAAACUCGGGGCUCAACCCCGAGACUGCUCUCGAAACUGUACAGCUAGAGUGCAGGAAGGGCAGGCGGAAUUCCUGGUGUAGCGGUGAAAUGCGUAGAUAUCAGGAGGAACACCGGUGGCGAAGGCGGCCUGCUGGACUGUAACUGACGCUGAGGCUCGAAAGCGUGGGGAGCGAACAGG